RNAcentral lists this ribosomal RNA (251 nucleotides) under uncultured bacterium. Its description in RNAcentral is "partial 16S ribosomal RNA". It matches the Rfam family "Bacterial small subunit ribosomal RNA", at positions 524 to 774 of the family's 1533-position model. The record is from RNAcentral.
UACGAAGGGGGCUAGCGUUGUUCGGAAUUACUGGGCGUAAAGCGCGCGCAGGCGGUCUUCCAAGUCAGUGGUGAAAGCCCGGAGCUCAACUCCGGAACUGCCAUUGAAACUGUAAGACUUGAGGACGAGAGAGGUGAGUGGAAUUCCCAGUGUAGAGGUGAAAUUCGUAGAUAUUCGCAAGAACACCAGUGGCGAAGGCGGCCCACUGGACGUGUAUUGACGCUGAGGUGCGAAAGCGUGGGGAGCAAACA